ACAGCAGCAGCCGCGGGAAUACGUAGGGUGCAAGCGUUAAUCGGAAUUACUGGGCGUAAAGCGUGCGCAGGCGGUUAUAUAAGACAGAUGUGAAAUCCCCGGGCUCAACCUGGGAACUGCAUUUGUGACUGUAUAGCUAGAGUACGGCAGAGGGGGAUGGAAUUCCGCGUGUAGCAGUGAAAUGCGUAGAUAUGCGGAGGAACACCGAUGGCGAAGGCAAUCCCCUGGGCCUGUACUGACGCUCAUGCACGAAAGCGUGGGGAGCAAACAGGAUUAGAUACCCGAGUAGUCCCUGUCUCUUAUAA
RNAcentral lists this ribosomal RNA (305 nucleotides) under uncultured bacterium. RNAcentral describes it as "partial 16S ribosomal RNA". It matches the Rfam family "Bacterial small subunit ribosomal RNA", at positions 505 to 809 of the family's 1533-position model. The record is from RNAcentral.